This 489-nucleotide ribosomal RNA is filed under the name uncultured bacterium. RNAcentral's name for it is "partial 16S ribosomal RNA". It matches the Rfam family "Bacterial small subunit ribosomal RNA", at positions 28 to 507 of the family's 1533-position model. The record is from RNAcentral.
GACGAACGCUGGCGGCGUGCUUAACACAUGCAAGUCGAACGGUGAAGGGACCAGCUUGCUGGUUCUGGAUGAGUGGCGAACGGGUGAGUAACACGUGGGUAACCUGCCCCCUUCUUCUGGAUAACCGCAUGAAAGUGUGGCUAAUACGGGAUAUUCUGGGUCUGUCGCAUGGCGGGCCCGGGAAAGAUAUUGCUUCGGUGGGGGAUGGGCUCGCGGCCUAUCAGCUUGUUGGUGGGGUGAUGGCCUACCAAGGCGGUGACGGGUAGCCGGCCUGAGAGGGGGGACGGUCACACUGGGACUGAGACACGGCCCAGACUCCUACGGGAGGGAGCAGUGGGGAAUAUUGCACAAUGGGCGCAAGCCUGAUGCAGCGACGCCGCGUGAGGGAUGGAGGCCUUCGGGUUGUAAACCUCUUUCGCCAGUGAAGCAGGCCUGCUCCUUGUGGGUGGGUUGACGGUAGCUGGAUAAGAAGCGCCGGCUAACUACGUG